GACAGAGGGUGCAACCGUUGUUCGGAAUUACUGGGCGUAAAGCGUGUGUAGGCGGCUCGAUAAGUCGGAUGUGAAAGCCCUGGGCUCAACCCAGGAAGUGCACUCGAUACUGUCGAGCUAGAGUAUCGGAGAGGUUGGUGGAAUUCUCGGUGUAGAGGUGAAAUUCGUAGAUAUCGAGAGGAACACCGGCGGCGAAGGCGGCCAACUGGACGAAUACUGACGCUGAGACACGAAAGCGUGGGGAGCAAACAGG
Molecule: ribosomal RNA, 253 nt
Filed under: uncultured bacterium
Lineage: Bacteria
Description: partial 16S ribosomal RNA
Rfam family: Bacterial small subunit ribosomal RNA
Source: RNAcentral